AUAACGCCAAUGAUUAAGAGUAGUAAUCAGUUUUAUCUGCUUUCAGAGAGCCGGCAGAAGGAUGCGAACCGGCAGCAGAUUCUGCAUGAAUGGACUUAUAGGCUCGGGAGGAAAGGAGAAUUCCAAGUAAUGCCCGACGGGAGCUUCAUCCGUUAUCAGCGAAGCAUAUAUUUAUGUAUAUGAAAUAAGAGGGCGCUAUGCGCCAAACCGGGUGGUACCGCAGAAGCUUAUAACUUUUGUCCCAGUA
Molecule: non-coding RNA, 247 nt
Filed under: Anaerocolumna jejuensis
Lineage: Bacteria; Bacillati; Bacillota; Clostridia; Lachnospirales; Lachnospiraceae
Description: T-box sequence
Rfam family: T-box leader
About the family: Uncharged tRNA acts as the effector for transcription antitermination of genes in the T-box leader family. T-boxes are found upstream of many aminoacyl-tRNA synthetase genes and some amino acid biosynthetic genes usually in Gram-positive bacteria.
Source: RNAcentral